Molecule: long non-coding RNA, 1243 nt
Filed under: Equus caballus (horse)
Lineage: Eukaryota; Metazoa; Chordata; Mammalia; Perissodactyla; Equidae
Description: lncRNA (ENSECAG00000044308.1)
Source: RNAcentral
CAAGGUUCGCUUCCUCCUGCCCGGGUCAUCAUGGGAGCCCGAGGACGGAGCCGUCCUCACCUCACGUGGAUCCCUGAGUAGGGCGAUGUAGAGAAGAGCCCCCGACCUGAGAGGGAUGUGUGGUGUGAGCGAGAAUCAGCCUUCAAUCAGUUUUAGCCCGAGGAACCUGACGUCGAGCAGGCCUGUGGACGGGCAGGAUUCUUAAUGGCUGGUUUGAUUGAUUAGGCCUCUGGCUGCUCUCUCAUUUUGGUCACAAAGGUUACCUGGCUCCAGAAACAAUCAAUGGAUCACCCCCUUUCAGACCACAGGACAUUUUAUAGACAGACUGUCAAGUCAUUUUAAAGCUGUGAACAUUCUGAUCACUUAUGUAGCUGAGCCCAUGCUGGAACGCACCAAUUUCCAGUCUUUGUGCGACUCUGAUUGCUCAGAAGCUGCUAAUAGCUCAUUACCUACUGCUUCCUGCUAUGAAACAAAAAUAUGAGGAUUUAGCUCUGAGACCAGCGCUGCUCACACUUUCGCCCUCCCGCUGCAUCCCGGUAGAGUUUUACCAAGACUUCAUAGACAUAAGAAACUUGCCGUGUUUAUACCACCAGAAUCCGGUAAAAGCGUCCAAAGUGUUCUAAGCAGCUGUAGUGAACGCAACCCCCAAUUCUCAGCCCUGCCUGUAGCCGCCUCUCGAUAUGAUCGCACCAGCAGGAUCCAGCAAGCAUGCUCCCUCCAUUCAGCCAAGGGAGUAAAAAAACGGAAGUCCACGCAAAAAUCCUGCACAUGGGUGUUUAUAGCAGCUUUAUUCAUAAACUGCCAAAACUUGGAAGCAACCAAAGAUAGUCUUCAACAGGGAAAUGAAUAAAAACCUGUGGUAUAUCCAGACAGUGGAAUAUUAGCAAGCCAUGGCAAGACCUGGAGGAACCUUAAAAGCACACUGCUAAGUGAAAGAAGCCAGUCUGAAAAGGCUCCAUACUGGGUGAUUCCAGCUGUCUGACAUUCUGGAAGAGAGAAAACUCUGGAACCUGUAGAUGGAAAGAUCACUGGCCGCAGGGGUUCAGGCGGAGGGAGCGAGGGAUAGGCAGAGCUCAGAUGAGUUUUCGGGCAGUGAAACUGUUCCAUAUGAUAUUGCCGUGGGGGAUAUGAGCCAUUAUGUUUGUCAAAACCCAUAGACUAUGCAACACAGAGAGUGAACCCUCAUGUAAACUGUGGACUUUAGUUAAUAAUAAUGUAUCAAGAUCGGCUCCUCAAUGGUAAC